UGCGAAUCCUUUUCCUUUCUU
This 21-nucleotide non-coding RNA is filed under the name Caenorhabditis elegans. Lineage: Eukaryota; Metazoa; Nematoda; Chromadorea; Rhabditida; Rhabditidae. The record is from RNAcentral.